Canis lupus familiaris (dog) is the source of this 2112-nucleotide long non-coding RNA. RefSeq lists it as uncharacterized. NCBI's taxonomy places the organism in Eukaryota, Metazoa, Chordata, Mammalia, Carnivora, Canidae. The record is from RefSeq and is a predicted model, not a curated record. The transcript is spliced from 4 exons.
ACGACUGAAAGAGUCUGCUUCGGGGAUGCGAGGUGGAGUUGGGGAAGGGACGCUUGCAGGGAGAAACUGAGGAAGGACGGGCCAGGGACUCGAACGAAGAGGGAAGGUUUAGAUUGGAGGCCUGAAGUCUAGCGAGGAAAAGGGCGCCCGAUGGGAGCAGGAACCUCAGAAGUCCUAUCCCAUGAUUUCCAAUAUAGUAGGCUCUAAAAGGUGAGCCAUUGUUGGUCUGAGAAGUCGUCUUAAAAGACGAAGACGAAGCAUUUUAGCUCCUUAUACAGUGCUGCUUUCUGCUGACUUUAGUGUUUUCUUCCGCAAAAAAAGUGAGGAAGAGGUCAGGUCCUUAAUCCGUGAUGGUUACUUAUACCACUAGGAUGGCUCCUUCUACUGAUGCGAGUGUUAAUCCCCCUGCCGCUGUUGGACUCUUCACAAUGGAUCAUUCCAGACUUGCUCAGAAAGAGCAUUACCACUGCUCUCCAGGCCAGGGCAUAUAGUGGACAGUCUCCCACAACAGUCUCCUCAUCUUGGGGGUGCUAUAUGCAAAUGAGCCCAGGUCUCUACUUCCAGAAUUCUCAGAAACCUGGUGCUUUCCCUAACCUUUCUUUCCCUCCACAGAUUUGUGUUUCCCCCAUCCAAAGCACUCCCUUUUCCUUUUGGAUCAGUUCCCCUAGUAAGCCCAUGCUUUUCAAAACCAUUUCUGGACAUUGUCUUUUGUGUGGCUGGAAACUUAAUUGUUGGCUCUGAAACUUAGAAGCCUUCAAACUAGGGAAGAUUUAAGGUCUGGCUACCAUCUGGGGGUGGGGGGGAUUACCCACAGAAAUGAGAACAAAUAUCUCCAUAAACUAUCACGUUUAUUAUAUAUUACUGUUAUGUAUAUACAACAGUAAUAUAUUACUGUUAGUACUUGACUUUGAAGUAGCAUUAGGUAGUUUAUAAGUAGGAGAAAACUGUUUUUGAGUAAUUGUAAUGAAAAAUGUAAAGUGACCAGUGCCAAAAGAUAGGUGACUAUUAAGUGCCAUUGAAUUUCAAGGCAGGAGAUAGAUUUUGGCCAGGGGAGAAUGAGUUCCAGGCAAGGGGAAGUGUGAAUAAAUGAACAUUCAAAAUGAGAAUGUCAGAGAUGCGUUUAAGGACUGGAAGUAAUCCAAUUGCAGACUAUGAAGAAAUAGGUGAGGAAUCUCGCUCAGAAGGGCCAAAGUUCAGAAUUAUCCAAGGUCACUCAAUUGAGCAUCGGAGAGUCGAGGUUUGAAUUUGGGUCUCUCUGCUCUUUGCUUCAUCAUUAUAUAUUAAUGAAUGCAACUUUUCUCAACGAGACUAAGAAGCCAAGGAGAAACAUGAAAGCUCAAAUGCGCCCUGAACUACUCUCAACCCCCAAGUCAAGGAAUGCAAAAGGCCCAUCAUGUGGCAGCAGCUCAUCAAUAAUUGUUGACUGAAGGAAUGGAUUUCUUCCAACCAGACCAAUGAUUUUGUGAAACAAAGGCAAUAAUAAUCAUGAAAAUAACUAACAUUUAUUUAAUGUGUACUAUAUCCUAAGCACUUUAUGUCAUUUGGAUCAGGAACAGGCUGUUAUGUCAAAGCACUUGGAAUAGGAUGAAAAUGAUAAUUUAUGAAGCAUGCUGUUUUAAAAGGAACGGUUUCUCUGGGAAUUUGUCAUACAGAAUUCCCCUAAAAGGGUUCCGAAAUGCAUGUGCAAAAAUGUCCAUUGCAGUACUGCUUGUAAUAGCAAAAUAUUGGAAACAAUCCAAGUAUCUAUCACUAGGGAACCUGUUAAGUAAAUUAUAGUUCAUCCAUACUGUGUAGGCAGCCUUUAAAAGAAUAUAGUAGAUCUAAAUGCACUGACAUAGAAAACUGUCCAAGACAUAUUGUUAAGAGAAACGAUCCCAUUUUUGUUAAACAUACCCAUGAGCGCGGGUGUGGGCAUGCAUGUGUAAAUGAAUACACAGAAAAAAAAUAUGAAUGUGCAGAGAAAAAUCUAGAGGAGCAAUAUAAUACAAAUUGUUAAAAGUGGCUCCUUCUCUGGAUAUGACUGUGGGGGACUUUUACUUUAUUAAAUAUUCAUCUCUAUAAUUAAAAAAUAUUUAUAAGAAGCAUGUCUUAUUUUAUAACAGCUUUAUUAAA